AGAGUUUGAUCCUGGCUCAGAUUGAACGCUGGCGGCAGGCCUAACACAUGCAAGUCGAGCGUGAAAAUCCUUCGGGAUGAGUAAAGCGGCGGACGGGUGAGUAACGCGUAGGAAUCUGCCCUGAAGCGGGGGAUAACUUGGGGAAACUCAAGCUAAUACCGCAUAGACCUAAGGGUGAAAGAUGGGGAUCUUCGGACCUAUCGCUUCAGGAGGAGCCUGCGUCGGAUUAGCUUGUUGGUGGGGUAAAGGCCUACCAAGGCGACGAUCCGUAGCUGGUCUGAGAGGAUGGCCAGCCACACUGGGACUGAGACACGGCCCAGACUCCUACGGGAGGCAGCAGUGGGGAAUAUUGGACAAUGGGCGCAAGCCUGAUCCAGCCAUGCCGCGUGUGUGAAGAAGGCUCUAGGGUUGUAAAGCACUUUAAGUUGUGAGGAAGUUACGGUUGCAAAUAGUGAUCGUAAUUGACGUUAGCAACAGAAUAAGCACCGGCUAACUCCGUGCCAGCAGCCGCGGUAAUACGGGGGGUGCAAGCGUUAAUCGGAUUUACUGGGCGUAAAGAGCACGUAGGCGGUUGAUUAAGUUGGAUGUGAAAGCCCAGGGCUUAACCUUGGAACUGCAUUCAAAACUGGUCAACUCGAGUAAGGGAGAGGAGAGUGGAAUUUCCAGUGUAGCGGUGAAAUGCAUAGAUAUUGGAAGGAAC
This 700-nucleotide ribosomal RNA is filed under the name uncultured Gammaproteobacteria bacterium. Its description in RNAcentral is "bacterial SSU rRNA". It matches the Rfam family "Bacterial small subunit ribosomal RNA", at positions 8 to 707 of the family's 1533-position model. The record is from RNAcentral. Lineage: Bacteria; Pseudomonadati; Pseudomonadota; Gammaproteobacteria.